Molecule: small RNA, 1131 nt
Filed under: Histoplasma ohiense
Lineage: Eukaryota; Fungi; Ascomycota; Eurotiomycetes; Onygenales; Ajellomycetaceae
Description: hypothetical lncRNA
Source: RNAcentral
GUCCUCUUGAUGGCCGUUCUCAGAUUCUCUGUCUAGAUGAUCAUCUUCGUUUGGGCCCGUUUCUUGGCCACAUGACUUCUCGGCAGCAUUCGGAGGCGUUGACGAGUCAGGCACAAAUUCCUUGAUCACCCGCAAUAUUAGUUAGAUAUUCAUAAAUUUGGGAGAUAUAUCGUAAUACUGAAGGCCCGUCGUAUCGCACCUUACGCCUCUUCACGUCAACUUUGUUACCACAUAAUACAAUCGGGAUCUCAUCGCCGGCCGUUUCCCUCAACUCUCCUAGUCUACCAUGAGUUCAAGGUCGCUCAAGGGCAGAUCGGUGGUUAAACUCUGACAAGAUAAAGUAGGAAGGGCAAGAAAGGAGAAUGCUAACACUCCCCUACCAGGGUUGGAGAAUCCACUGACUGUCAUAAAACGUAGUGGAUGGACCUCUACUCCAAGAGUUGGAAUGUUUCUCUCGUCAAACUCGCCACAAAGAUGCCUCUUCACGAAAGUUGUCUGUAUUUGCAUGCUUAGUAGCAUGGAAUCAAACAGUGGAUCUGAUAGAUGAUGUGCCUUACUUUCCCUACACCUCCAUCUCCAACCACUACCACCUUGAAUGUACGAACGGGGAACUCCAUGUUAGCAGGAAGCCAUAGACAUUGAUAGUCAAAACGUUUGAUUGAAAGUGAGCUCCUUGUCUUUUAUCCCGUUCAAUUCCAAGGGCAGGGUGGACGCUCAGGAACAUAAAAGAUCAUCAGCAAGGCGGUAAAAGCAAGAUGCGGGGGAAGCUGUCAUCGUACAAGAAUAGAACAGCACACUUUCGGAGACCACGCCCAAACAUGGGUUUAUGCGUAUGAGAAACCAACUUCCAGGGUUGAAGUUCGUUCUGGAAGGGCUACAUCCAAUCAUCCCUCUAGCGGGGCUUCAUUACGUCCAGUAGCGUGCGACUGAGCGCGCAAGGCAGAGAUCGUAAUGCACACCGGCGGUUAGCUAUUUUACUCCGUACCAUUAACUUCAACCUAUACUGAGGUAUUACUCUACCGGCACAGUGUGAAAAGAGAUGAAGUUCUGGAUAACGUGGUCUCACUUCUGCAGAGAGAAGAGAGAGGGCUGCGCACUCUCCAGUGCAGAAGAUAGAAUCAAAGAAAAGAG